This 1939-nucleotide long non-coding RNA is filed under the name Sus scrofa (pig). RNAcentral describes it as "lncRNA (ENSSSCG00030013281.1)". The record is from RNAcentral. Lineage: Eukaryota; Metazoa; Chordata; Mammalia; Artiodactyla; Suidae.
GCCUGGCUGUGGGAGGAGAAAAGGCUCCAUAUUGAAUAGUAUUUAUCUACCCAGUGACUGGGCUGGAGAGGCAGUGGUGUCUCUGUAUAUAAAUGAUGAAACUGUGACUUAGAGAGGCUUAGUAAACUGCCUGAUGCACACAACUACGUGCAGUGAUGAAUAUGAGAGUCAAACUUGGAUUUGCUCCAAAGUCUUUGUUCCUUCCGUGGCAGUAAAGCAAAGGAGAAGAGAAAGAUGGCCAGGUGAAAAAGGGGCACUGCCAAGCAAGUCUCAAGGAAAUGUGCACCCUCCACAGGAAGUUUUAUUAUUGGCUUCUGGGGAAGUGGUAAGUUUGCAAAUAUCAUCACACAUUUAAGUGCAUUCUUAAGACACAUGUGACAGCUUGACAUUUGGGAGAGAAAUUCUGCUGGUUUCUAAGUUCCGAGUCUGCCAUGAAAUGUCUGUGGAACCUGGGUUAAAACAUGUCAUUUUCUGACUCUCAGUUUCUUCUGUGUAAAACAAAACGGAUGGAUGAUGUACAAAAUGAGGUUCUCCAAUUCUUUUAUGAGACAGGCACUUAAGCACAUUGUUGUGCUCUGGUAGGGAAAUCUUUCUGUCUACAAAGACCUCAAAGAGGACACAAGGGUAGUGUUCUCUGCUAUGAAGUGGAUUCAGUGGAAGGACUUGAUCAUAUUCUGAGAUACUUCAGCAUUUUUGCCUUCUGUAAAUUCUUCACCUAUGAAACAGGUUAGAGCAGGAAGGAAAAUGGCAAUUGUAGGUUUAGGACAGAGUGGAGCAAACCUUUCUUGUUUCUCUUGGGGAUUAGCUUCAAGGAUGGAGGGAGGGUAUUGAUACUGACAACAGAGACACACUCUUAUCUGAAAUUCAGAUCAAAUGAUUCCACCCUGUAGAGCAUUCCAUGACAAUGGCCUUUCCAGGAGCAUGAAUCUAUACACAGCCCAGUAGUUAAUUUCAAUCAGCAGGCUUUGCUGGUAUUGCUGCUCCCAUUUUAGAUUUACAAAGCCAUUCUUGAUGAAGACAAUAAAAGCCUCCUGUCCCUCUGGUAUUGCAUUAUGCUCUGACACUUUAUCAGGGCACACAGACAGACGGUUGUUCUAAACCAUAUAUAAAAUGGAGCAAGCUCACAAAUCAUGCUUUGAUAUUGCACUGUGCAAACACCAAGGUUAAAAGGUAAAUCUGUGCUGUAACCGUAUUGAUUAAUUGAUGUUAAGAAAGGUCAGAUUAAUCUUUAUCUUGCUUGAAAAACUCUAGUUCUCCAUGGCAGGGCUGUUGAAAUGGUUCCUGUAUAAAAAGAUAAAAACAACAAUAAGAACUGGAACCUUAAUGCAAAAAAAGUGAGGGAAAACUCACCUAAUAAUCACUCAGAAAAUGUUAGUGAAAGGAACCCUAGUGGAGAGACAAUGGGGAAAUCUCAUCAGUCGCUCAGGUAGUUAAAGCACUGAAACAGGGACUGGAAAGUGGAAGUUAUUGCGUUUUCUGUGUAUUUGGGAUAGGCUUCCUUGGAAACACCUUCACUAGUGAAGCAAUUGUAGAAGUAAAAAUAAUGACUUUAGAUAAUAGCCUUAAGCCUGUUCCAAGAAGGCCAGACAAGAGAGGAGAGCUUCUACUCCUUUUUUCCAAUAGGAUUGAAAUCAGUUGAAGUAAAAUACCUAACUUUCCUGACCUUCAGGUCCUGCCCAGGUGAAAAACUGGCACAUAACAUUUCUUAUAAGAUCGUUUCUGUAUCCCCAGGGCCUGGUGGGAAAGGGAAAUCAUCUCUUCCACAUAUGGAGAUGCACAGACAACUUAAGAACUUAAGAACAACUUGCCCAACCUACUUCUGGUUCAAAUGAUAAAACCGGGUUUGAAGGCUAAAAUUUAGGGUUUUGAGAAAACCAAGAAAAAAAUAAGGAAGGAUUAGUGGCUAAAUCUAUCUAAGAGUGGAAGAAGAAAAAAAAAA